CACUAUCGUUAACUGAAUACAUAGGUUAACGAGGCGAACCGGGGGAACUGAAACAUCUAAGUACCCCGAGGAAAAGAAAUCAACCGAGAUUCCCCCAGUAGCGGCGAGCGAACGGGGAGCAGCCCAGAGUCUGAAUCAGCUUGUGUGUUAGUGGAACGGUCUGGAAAGUCCGACGGUACAGGGUGAUAGUCCCGUACACCAAAAUGCACAGGUUGUGAACUCGAAGAGUAGGGCGGGACACGUGGUAUCCUGUCUGAAUAUGGGGGGACCAUCCUCCAAGGCUAAAUACUCCUGACUGACCGAUAGUGAACCAGUACCGUGAGGGAAAGGCGAAAAGAACCCCGGCGAGGGGAGUGAAAAAGAACCUGAAACCGUGUACGUACAAGCAGUGGGAGCACCUUCGGGUGUGACUGCGUACCUUUUGUAUAAUGGGUCAGCGACUUAUAUUCUGUAGCAAGGUUAACCGUAUAGGGGAGCCGCAGGGAAACCGAGUCUUAACUGGGCGUUAAGUUGCAGGGUAUAGACCCGAAACCCGGUGAUCUAGCCAUGGGCAGGUUGAAGGUUGGGUAACACUAACUGGAGGACCGAACCGACUAAUGUUGAAAAAUUAGCGGAUGACUUGUGGCUGGGGGUGAAAGGCCAAUCAAACCGGGAGAUAGCUGGUUCUCCCCGAAAGCUAUUUAGGUAGCGCCUCGUGAACUCAUCUUCGGGGGUAGAGCACUGUUUCGGCUAGGGGGUCAUCCCGACUUACCAACCCGAUGCAAACUACGAAUACCGAAGAAUGUUAUCACGGGAGACACACGGCGGGUGCUAACGUCCGUCGUGAA
This 827-nucleotide ribosomal RNA is filed under the name Klebsiella pneumoniae. RNAcentral describes it as "partial 23S ribosomal RNA". It matches the Rfam family "Bacterial large subunit ribosomal RNA", at positions 146 to 1014 of the family's 2925-position model. Lineage: Bacteria; Pseudomonadati; Pseudomonadota; Gammaproteobacteria; Enterobacterales; Enterobacteriaceae. The record is from RNAcentral.